CGGAGGGUGCAAGCGUUAAUCGGAAUUACUGGGCGUAAAGGGUUCGUAGGUGGUUUAUUAAGUUAUUUGUAAAAUCCCUGGGCUUAACCUGGGCAGGUCAGAUAAUACUGGUAGACUCGAGUAUGGGAGAGGGUAGUGGAAUUUCCGGUGUAGCGGUGAAAUGCGUAGAGAUCGGAAGGAACACCAGUGGCGAAGGCGGCUACCUGGCCUAAUACUGACACUGAGGAACGAAAGCGUGGGGGAGCAAACAGGAUUAGAUACCCUGGUAGUCCACGCCGUAAACGAUGUCAACUAGCUGUUGGUCAUAUUGAUAUGAUUAGUGGCGCAGCAAACGCGAUAAGUUGACCGCCUGGGGAGUACGGUCGCAAGAUUA
This 373-nucleotide ribosomal RNA is filed under the name uncultured organism. RNAcentral describes it as "bacterial SSU rRNA". It matches the Rfam family "Bacterial small subunit ribosomal RNA", at positions 526 to 896 of the family's 1533-position model. The record is from RNAcentral.